UAGGGAAUAUUAGUAAUGGGCGAAAGCCUGAACUAGCAACGCCGCGUGUGCGAAGAAGGCCUUCGGGUUGUAAAGCACUUUUUGAGAGGAUGAGGAAGGACGGUACUCUCAGAAUAAGUCUCGGCUAACUACGUGCCAGCAGCCGCGGUAACACGUAGGAGGCGAACGUUAUCCGGAUUUACUGGGCGUAAAGCGCGUGUAGGUGGUUUGGUAAGUAGGGCGUGAAAGCUCCUGGCUCAACUGGGAGAGGCCGUUCUAAGCUGCCGAACUAGAGGAUGGUAGAGGGAGGUGGAAUUCCGGGUGUAGCGAUGGAAUGCGCAGAUAUCCGGAGGAACACCAGUGGCGAAAGCGGCCUCCUGGACCAUUCCUGACACUCAGACGCGAAAGCUAGGGUAGCAAACG
RNAcentral lists this ribosomal RNA (402 nucleotides) under uncultured bacterium. Its description in RNAcentral is "bacterial SSU rRNA". It matches the Rfam family "Bacterial small subunit ribosomal RNA", at positions 355 to 774 of the family's 1533-position model. The record is from RNAcentral.